This 638-nucleotide ribosomal RNA is filed under the name uncultured marine eukaryote. RNAcentral describes it as "bacterial SSU rRNA". It matches the Rfam family "Eukaryotic small subunit ribosomal RNA", at positions 715 to 1161 of the family's 1831-position model. The record is from RNAcentral.
CUCCGGUCAUGUGUGCGGCGGCGGAUCAACCCCUUGCGCCAAACUGUCGUCUCUAACAGACCGAAGCGGUUCCCUGUGAGUAGGCCACUUAAUUGGGGCUGAAAGCGUUUACGCAUUAACCACAUGCAUACGGGACGUCGGUCAAAGUUACUGUGAACAAACCAGCGUGUCCAAAACAGGCUUUGCUUGAAUGUUCGAGCAUGGAAUAGCAAGGGAUCGAUUCUCUCGGUUCUUUUUGUUGGUUUUUAACCCGAGAAGGAGUAAUUCAGGCCAAGGUGUCUGGGCUGGGUUCCCCUUCACUUCGGUGAAGGCCCCAGUUAGGCCUUGUCCUUACGGGAUAAAUAGGGACUGACGGGGUCGUACGUACUUCCACGUCAGAGGUGAAAUUCUUAGAUCGUGGGAAGACGAACUUCUGCGAAAGCAUUCGACAAGAAUGUCUUCAUUAAUCAAGAACGAGAGUGUGGGGAUCGAAGAUGAUCAGAUACCGUCGUAGUCCACUACUGUAAACAAUGCCGUCUCAGGAUUGAGAAGUGAACCUAAUGACUUUCACAGCACUAACCCCUGAAACGAGAAAUCAAAGAUUAUGGGUUCAGGGGGGAGUACAUUCGCAAGGCUGAAACUUAAAGGAAUUGACGGAA